Molecule: ribosomal RNA, 851 nt
Filed under: uncultured Chloroflexota bacterium
Lineage: Bacteria; Bacillati; Chloroflexota
Description: bacterial SSU rRNA
Rfam family: Bacterial small subunit ribosomal RNA
Source: RNAcentral
GAUAAACGCUGGCGGCGUGCCUUAUGCAUGCAAGUCGAACGAGGCUAGGGCUUCGGCCCGAAACCUAGUGGCGGACGGGUGAGUAACACGUACGUGACCUAUCCGGAAGUGGGGAAUAACCAGCCGAAAGGUUGGCUAAUACCGCAUGUGGUUACCCCUUGGAAGGGGCAAACCAAAGUCGCAAGACGCUUCCGGAGGGGCGUGCGGCCGAUUAGCUAGUUGGUGUGGUAACGGCGCACCAAGGCUGUGAUCGGUAGCUGGUCUGAGAGGAUGGUCAGCCACACUGGGACUGAGACACGGCCCAGACUCCUACGGGAGGCAGCAGCAGGGAAUUUUGCGCAAUGGGCGAAAGCCUGACGCAGCAACGCCGCGUGGGGGAUGAAGGCUCUCGGGUCGUAAACCCCUUUUGCCGGGGAAGAUAAUGACGGUACCCGGCGAAUAAGCCACGGCUAACUACGUGCCAGCAGCCGCGGUAAUACGUAGGUGGCAAGCGUUGUCCGGAUUUAUUGGGCGUAAAGAGCGCGCAGGCGGUGCGCCAAGUCCGAGGUGAAAUCUCCCGGCUCAACUGGGAGGGGUCUUCGGAUACUGGCGGACUCGAGGAGAGCAGAGGUGAGUGGAAUUCUGGGUGUAGUGGUGAAAUGCGUAGAUAUCCAGAGGAACACCAGCGGCGAAGGCGGCUCACUGGGCUCCACCUGACGCUGAGGCGCGAAAGCGUGGGGAGCGAACCGGAUUAGAUACCCGGGUAGUCCACGCUGUAAACGAUGGGCACUAGGUGUGGGGGGUAUUGACCCCCUCCGUGCCGAAGCUAACGCAAUAAGUGCCCCGCCUGGGGAGUACGGCCGCAAGGCUAA